Molecule: long non-coding RNA, 2674 nt
Filed under: Anser cygnoides (Swan goose)
Lineage: Eukaryota; Metazoa; Chordata; Aves; Anseriformes; Anatidae
Description: lncRNA (ENSACDG00005010642.1)
Source: RNAcentral
AAAGGCAGAACUUGAUGAGGUGAUUAUUGGACUGGUUAGUCCACAUGUUUGAGCCUAUUAGUAUUUAUGAUACAACUGUCAGUCUUAGAGGUGUGACUGUCAUGUCGUACAGGCUGUAAUCCCUUUUUUAAGACUAGAUAACGCCAAGUAGCAACAUGCACACUCUGAGAGCUGCUUUUCCAUGCUUGUUUGGCUGUGUACAAGGGUUUUUUGAGUAAUUCACAAUUAACAAUGGAAAGUCUGAUGCCAGCCUGUCAUCUUGUCCAUAUGAUGGUACAUGCCCAAAUGAUAUUAUUCAAUUAAAAAAAAGAAAGAGGAUUAUGUGUUUCUACUACAGAACAGUGUAUUUUCCACUACAAUAACCAAAUGGCAUUUGUACUUCUUUAUUGUAAGCUAGAAGUUUACAGGCAAAAAAAAAAAAAAAAAAGAGGAAGAGAGGUUUCUUAAGGUAGUGGGACUUCAGUGCAGUAACAUAACAUUAAGGAAAUUAGCACCUCUUUUUUUUACCCCUUUGUAGAUGUAUAAUUUCCAGUAAUUGUCUUUGACAUCCUGCUAUGAAGCGUCCUUUCCGCUUCUGCUCAUGUAGAUCAUGUAAUUCAAACACAGUUACCUGUAAUUUUCUGUGAUCUCAAUGAAAUCUUCACCGCUAGGAUAAAGGGAAGAGCCCAGCUUGCUUAGAGAAGACCUGAUAUGGCCUUUCUUCUUGGCCAGUCAUGCCUGAAACUCUCUGUGUCCUGGAGCUCCAUUUUGUGGGUAGCUGGUCAAAGUCUGCGAGCAGCACUUUCUGUGCCAGAAGCCAGAACUGAAGCAUGUUGUUUAGGGCCAACUGUUGUGCAGCAGCUGCAGAGCCCUCAGAAAAAACAUUUGUCUUGGACUUUUCAGCUCAAACCUCAUUCUGGCACUUGACCUACUUAGACCCAUUUCAGCCUCUGUGGUUGUAUAAUUUCCAGGUUGAACAAGGACACUCUGCCACUGCUUCCCUACCCAAGACGUUAAAGUAUCUUGCAGCUAGAGACAAAAGUUGUUAUCUCCAACGGGAACUGUAAGGAAUAUUAACACCGGCUGCCUCGUGAGUGCCUGUUCUUUAAAUACUGCUUCUUGAAAGUAAACUUCAGAGUAAUUACUGAAGGUCAGUGUUAUUCCGCAUGUAAGUCCUUUCACUUUAGUUUUCUUGUCUGUAGCAACCACCCAGCCACCCACGUGGAUGGCAGACCCAGGAACGGAAGGAACCAUUGCUUCCUGCAUCCCACGCCAUUGAAAGUUUCUUCAUGAAAAUAGGAAAUUACUUUAAGCACAUUAUUGUCUUUGGAAAAAAAAGUAUGCUGUUUUGGCAUCCAUUCUAUAAAUUCGCUAGUUUCCCUGUCUUGCAAAGGACAGCGUGUCACUUCUUUUCUUGCCUGUAGUUCUCACUCUAAAACAGAGGGGUGGGAGGUUGACACUGUUCUGCCUUCAAGUGCUGUGGGUAAGGAAGCCUGCUCCUGCAGAAGGUGCAAAAAUGAGUGACUAAGAAAGAAACAGGGGAGGAGUGUUCCUACAAGGACUAAAAUCUUAAUGAGAGUACUUUCCUCUUGAAUAUGGUCACCUUUCUAAAAUGAUAGGAAGCAGAACAUCAGAAAUCCAACCUGGCCAGAAAGCAGUGUGGUUUUCAAAGAAAAUGCUGCAAUGUGGAUUUCAGUGAAAAUACUUUUGUUAUGAUUUUUGAGAUUGGCAGUAUUUAAAAUGUCUUCAGGUUUAGUCUGUUCAGGGUUGAGUUUUCUAACUGGGGAACAGCUAUGGUUGAAGUCUAAAUAUUUAGCUGGGCUUUUCUACUGCUUGUAUUCUCAGAAAUUUUCAGAGUAAGUACAGAAGAACCAGCAUUUCUAACAAAGUAAGUUCCCAGUUUUUGAUUUUUUGGUUGGAAGUAGACCAAUAAGGAAUUUGCAAACAAUCCCAGGUGCUCAGGCUGCAGCAAUUCCCCAGUGAGAUUAAAAACCAUGAAUUGUUCUGCCUGUGCACACAUGAAAAGGUUCCUGUGCAGUAGUUCCCCUACCACCUCAUGCGUAUGUCUUAGAGUAUGAACGUAUGAGCAGUGUGCAUGCCUGAGGGUUGAUUGACUUUUACAGCUGUUGUCGCUGACAUCUCUGGUACUGCAGAGGAGGGAAGGCCGGGCCUCUGGAGGACUGGGUUUUUACCACUUGGAGGUCUCCAGUUGUGGCUGUUGCGAAACAGAAACUGAAGGAGAUUUUUCUUCUGGCAGAAGAGCAGUUACUUGGAAACUAGAACCGCUGUUUUAUCAGGGUUGAGCAGAUGCUUUCUGGGCUCUGAGAUCAGCCACUUUGUGUCUCCUUUAUCUUCUCUAGCCCUUCCAUGGCCAAAGUUAUUCUUGGAGAUCUUCUUAUCUAACCACAAACCCAUUUGGAUCGAGAAGUGUAGUAAGUUGUUUAAAGGCUGGUGGGACGAUUGUGCUGCCAAGGAAGACUGCUGCUGCUUGUAAGGUCAGCAGCAGCCGUGGUGUUGGCUCAGCUGGAGUCAACAUUGCUUCAGCUGCUGGUGGCUGAACUUGGGCCUUCCCCCCAGAUGACCUUUGCUGACUGACCUGUGUGCUCACCACAGGUGUCCUCUGCCUUCCACCCACCCCAACUCUUAGAAAUGCUUUCAUAAUAAAAUAUUUUGAGGGAAGUUACCUGGGUUAUUU